GACGAACGCUGGCGGCGUGCUUAACACAUGCAAGUCGAACGGAAAGGCCCUGCUUUUGUGGGGUGCUCGAGUGGCGAACGGGUGAGUAACACGUGAGUAACCUGCCCUUGACUUUGGGAUAACUUCAGGAAACUGGGGCUAAUACCGGAUAGGAGCUCCUGCUGCAUGGUGGGGGUUGGAAAGUUUCGGCGGUUGGGGAUGGACUCGCGGCUUAUCAGCUUGUUGGUGGGGUAGUGGCUUACCAAGGCUUUGACGGGUAGCCGGCCUGAGAGGGUGACCGGCCACAGUGGGACUGAGAUACGGCCCAGACUCCUACGGGAGGCAGCAGUGGGGAAUAUUGCACAAUGGGCGGAAGCCUGAUGCAGCAACGCCGCGUGCGGGAUGACGGCCUUCGGGUUGUAUACCGCUUUCGCCUGUGACGAAGCGUGAGUGACGGUAAUGGGUAAAGAAGCACCGGCUAACUACGUG
This 468-nucleotide ribosomal RNA is filed under the name uncultured bacterium. Its description in RNAcentral is "partial 16S ribosomal RNA". It matches the Rfam family "Bacterial small subunit ribosomal RNA", at positions 28 to 507 of the family's 1533-position model. The record is from RNAcentral.